CAUUUAAAUGUACCCUUGUAUAAAAAUACGAAUAUUCUCAUUAUCCCUAAAAGGAUAAAUGUCUACACUCUAGGGAUCUAAUUUUCACUUGACUUGAGAGCAGUGCUUAGAUUUGGGCCUUUGUAAACAGAGCUGUCAACAUCUGGAAGACAACACUUAGAAUAUCAGGAAAUUCAAAUACAAGCACAGAGAUCUGUGAGACUAUAAAUGGAAGAUAUUCAAUAAUGCAAUGCAUAAGAAGUUCCAGAUACAAUGCCCAGGUGAACAGUGAGCAGCUACCCAAUGUAAGACCCUGUUUCAAGCAACUUAUUGAUCUGAAAAGUUACCUGUGAAAAAAGAAAAAUCGUUUUAUUAAAGUAAAAUAUCGUUCUU
Molecule: long non-coding RNA, 372 nt
Organism: Mesocricetus auratus (golden hamster)
Lineage: Eukaryota; Metazoa; Chordata; Mammalia; Rodentia; Cricetidae
Exons: 2
Source: RefSeq, a predicted model, not a curated record